UACAUGCAAGUCGAGCGAAUGACGAAGAAGCUUGCUUCUUCUGAUUUAGCGGCGGACGGGUGAGUAACACGUGGGCAACCUGCCCUGUAGAUUGGGAUAACUCCGGGAAACCGGGGCUAAUACCGAAUAAUCCAUUUCCUCUCAUGGGGAGAUGUUAAAAGACGGUUUCGGCUGUCACUACAGGAUGGGCCCGCGGCGCAUUACCUAGUUGGUGAGGUAACGGCUCACCAAGGCGACGAUGCGUAGCCGACCUGAGAGGGUGAUCGGCCACACUGGGACUGAGACACGGCCCAGACUCCUACGGGAGGCAGCAGUAGGGAAUCUUCCACAAUGGACGAAAGUCUGAUGGAGCAAUGCCGCGUGAGUGAAGAAGGUUUUCGGAUCGUAAAACUCUGUUGUGAGGGAAGAAC
Molecule: ribosomal RNA, 410 nt
Filed under: Bacillus sp. 115-4.1-CV-H(h)-01
Lineage: Bacteria; Bacillati; Bacillota; Bacilli; Caryophanales; Bacillaceae
Description: bacterial SSU rRNA
Rfam family: Bacterial small subunit ribosomal RNA
Source: RNAcentral